RNAcentral lists this ribosomal RNA (301 nucleotides) under uncultured bacterium. RNAcentral's name for it is "partial 16S ribosomal RNA". It matches the Rfam family "Bacterial small subunit ribosomal RNA", at positions 509 to 807 of the family's 1533-position model. The record is from RNAcentral.
CAGCCGCCGCGGUAAUACGAAGGGGGCUAGCGUUGCUCGGAAUGACUGGGCGUAAAGGGCGCGUAGGCGGCGAUCAAAGUCAGGCGUGAAAUUCCUGGGCUCAACCUGGGGGCUGCGCUUGAUACUUGGUUGCUUGAGUGGGGAAGAGGGUCGUGGAAUUCCCAGUGUAGAGGUGAAAUUCGUAGAUAUUGGGAAGAACACCGGUGGCGAAGGCGGCGACCUGGUCCUUGACUGACGCUGAGACGCGAAAGCGUGGGGAGCAAACAGGAUUAGAUACCCCCGUAGUCCCUGUCUCUUAUAC